This is a long non-coding RNA of Corythoichthys intestinalis (scribbled pipefish), 253 nucleotides long. RefSeq lists it as uncharacterized. NCBI's taxonomy places the organism in Eukaryota, Metazoa, Chordata, Actinopteri, Syngnathiformes, Syngnathidae. The record is from RefSeq and is a predicted model, not a curated record. The transcript is spliced from 4 exons.
CUUUAUCACUAUAGGCUACAUCUCACAGAUGGGGCAAUCUGACAUAUAUAUAAGGCUUGCUGUCUGAUUGAUUGCCAUCAUCCACAGCAUCAAGCAUCGUGACCAUGAAGAUAGCAUUUACUCUUCACUCUUUGUUCCUUCUUUGCGGGUUCGCUGGACUGUUGACUGGAGUUUUCUCAAGUAGAAAAAGUCAUGCAGAAGUCGACAGUCGUGGAUCUGGUGGUUGCUGCCCUGCAGGGUGGACUCAGUUGGG